This 222-nucleotide ribosomal RNA is filed under the name Escherichia coli. Its description in RNAcentral is "partial 23S ribosomal RNA". It matches the Rfam family "Bacterial large subunit ribosomal RNA", at positions 448 to 673 of the family's 2925-position model. The record is from RNAcentral. Lineage: Bacteria; Pseudomonadati; Pseudomonadota; Gammaproteobacteria; Enterobacterales; Enterobacteriaceae.
GGGGACCAUCCUCCAAGGCUAAAUACUCCUGACUGACCGAUAGUGAACCAGUACCGUGAGGGAAAGGCGAAAAGAACCCCGGCGAGGGGAGUGAAAAAGAACCUGAAACCGUGUACGUACAAGCAGUGGGAGCCUCUUAAUGGGGUGACUGCGUACCUUUUGUAUAAUGGGUCAGCGACUUAUAUUCUGUAGCAAGGUUAACCGAAUAGGGGAGCCGAAGGG